RNAcentral lists this small nuclear RNA (104 nucleotides) under Cervus elaphus hippelaphus. Lineage: Eukaryota; Metazoa; Chordata; Mammalia; Artiodactyla; Cervidae. The record is from RNAcentral.
GUGCUCACUUCGGCAGCACAUAUACUAAAAUUGGAACGAUACAGAGAAGAUUAGCAUGGCCCCUGCACAAGGAUGACACGCAGAUUCGUGAAGUGUUCCAUAUU